RNAcentral lists this non-coding RNA (23 nucleotides) under Arabidopsis thaliana (thale cress). The record is from RNAcentral. Lineage: Eukaryota; Viridiplantae; Streptophyta; Magnoliopsida; Brassicales; Brassicaceae.
CUUGUUUGGUGAUGUGUCAUUCA